Non-coding RNA from Saitozyma sp. JCM 24511, 88 nucleotides. NCBI's taxonomy places the organism in Eukaryota, Fungi, Basidiomycota, Tremellomycetes, Tremellales, Trimorphomycetaceae. The record is from the annotation of a GenBank genome assembly.
GGUUCGAUAGCUCAGUUGGGAGAGCGCACGACUGAAGUUCAAUCAGAACAUCAUCGUGCGGUCCCUGGUUCAAUCCCGGGUCUGACCA